This 243-nucleotide unclassified non-coding RNA is filed under the name uncultured fungus. RNAcentral's name for it is "sequence contains ITS2". The stretch from base 1 to 52 matches the Rfam family "5.8S ribosomal RNA", at positions 103 to 154 of the family's 154-position model. Lineage: Eukaryota; Fungi. The record is from RNAcentral.
AACGCACAUUGCGCCCCUUGGUAUUCCGAGGGGCAUGCCUGUUCGAGCGUCAUUACAACCCUCAAGCAUUGCUUGGUCUUGGGCUCUCGCCGCGCACGCGGCGGGCCUUAAAAUCAGUGGCGGUGCCGUCGGGUCCUGAGCGUAGUAAAUCUCCUCGCUACAGGGUCCCGGUGGACGCUAGCCAGCAACCCCCAACUUUCUAUGGUUGACCUCGGAUCAGGUAGGGAUACCCGCUGAACUUAA